This 253-nucleotide ribosomal RNA is filed under the name uncultured bacterium. RNAcentral describes it as "partial 16S ribosomal RNA". It matches the Rfam family "Bacterial small subunit ribosomal RNA", at positions 524 to 776 of the family's 1533-position model. The record is from RNAcentral.
UACGUAGGGGGCAAGCGUUGUCCGGAAUCAUUGGGCGUAAAGCGCGUGUAGGCGGGUCGGUAAGUCCGCUCUGAAAGCCCGGGGCUCAACCCCGGGAGGCGGGUGGAUACUGUCGACCUCGAGUCCGGAAGAGGCGAGUGGAAUUCCUGGUGUAGCGGUGAAAUGCGCAGAUAUCAAGAGGAACACCAGUGGCGAAGGCGAGUCCCUGGACAAUACCUGACACUGAGGCACGAAAGCCAAGGGAGCAAACAGG